CCUCGGGUCGCUGCAGUGGGGAAUAUUGCACAAUGGGCGCAAGCCUGAUGCAGCAACGCCGUGUGAGUGAAGAAGGCCUUCGGGUUGUAAAACUCUGUCCUAAGGGAAGAAACAAAUGACGGUACCUUAGGAGGAAGCCCCGGCUAACUACGUGCCAGCAGCCGCGGUAAUACGUAGGGGGCAAGCGUUAUCCGGAAUCACUGGGCGUAAGGGGUGCGUAGGCGGCCUAUCAAGUCAGAAGUGAAAGGCAUUGGCUCAACCAAUGUAAGCUUUUGAAACUGUUGGGCUUGAGUGCAGGAGAGGUAAGUGGAAUUCCUAGUGUAGAGGUGAAAUUCGUAGAUAUUAGGAGGAACACCAGUGGCGAAGGCGACUUACUGGACUGUAACUGACGCUGAGGCACGAAAGCGUGGGGAGCGAACAGGAUUAGAUACCCUUGUAGUC
Molecule: ribosomal RNA, 441 nt
Filed under: uncultured bacterium
Lineage: Bacteria
Description: partial 16S ribosomal RNA
Rfam family: Bacterial small subunit ribosomal RNA
Source: RNAcentral